GCCACUGUGGCGGAAUUGGUAGACGCGUGGGUCUCAAAAACCCAUGAGCUUUAUACCUCGUGUCGGUUCGACUCCGACCAGUGGCA
RNAcentral lists this transfer RNA (86 nucleotides) under Candidatus Woesebacteria bacterium. RNAcentral's name for it is "tRNA-Leu". It matches the Rfam family "tRNA". From Rfam's summary of the family: Transfer RNA (tRNA) molecules are approximately 80 nucleotides in length. Their secondary structure includes four short double-helical elements and three loops (D, anti-codon, and T loops). The record is from RNAcentral. Lineage: Bacteria; Candidatus Woeseibacteriota.